GACGAACGCUGGCGGCGUGCUUAACACAUGCAAGUCGAACGGAAAGGCCCUGCUUUUGUGGGGUGCUCGAGUGGCGAACGGGUGAGUAACACGUGAUUAACCUGCCCUUGACUUUGGGAUAACUUCAGGAAACUGGGGCUAAUACCGGAUAGGAGCUCCUGCUGCAUGGUGGGGUUUGGAAAGUUUCGGCGGUUGGGGAUGGACUCGCGUCUUAUCAGCUUGUUGUUGGGGUAGUGGCUUACCAAGGCUUUGACGGGUAGCCGGCCUGAGAGGGUGUACGGCAGGAUUGGGACUAAGAUAAGGCCCAGACGCCUGAGGGAGGCAGCAGUAGGGAAAAUUGCAAAAUGGGCGAAAGCCAGAUGCAGGAACGACGAGUGAGGGAUGACGGACUUCGGGUUGUAAACCGCUUUCGCCUGUGACGAAGCGGGAGUGAAGGUAAUGGGUAAAGAAGCACGGGCUAAAUACGUG
Molecule: ribosomal RNA, 468 nt
Filed under: uncultured bacterium
Lineage: Bacteria
Description: partial 16S ribosomal RNA
Rfam family: Bacterial small subunit ribosomal RNA
Source: RNAcentral